RNAcentral lists this ribosomal RNA (890 nucleotides) under Bifidobacterium bifidum. Its description in RNAcentral is "bacterial SSU rRNA". It matches the Rfam family "Bacterial small subunit ribosomal RNA", at positions 155 to 1054 of the family's 1533-position model. The record is from RNAcentral. Lineage: Bacteria; Bacillati; Actinomycetota; Actinomycetes; Bifidobacteriales; Bifidobacteriaceae.
UGGGGUGGUUAAAAUCCGGAUGUUCCACAUGAUCGCAUGUGAUUGUGGGAAAGAUUCUAUCGGCGUGGGAUGGGGUCGCGUCCUAUCAGCUUGUUGGUGAGGUAACGGCUCACCAAGGCUUCGACGGGUAGCCGGCCUGAGAGGGCGACCGGCCACAUUGGGACUGAGAUACGGCCCAGACUCCUACGGGAGGCAGCAGUGGGGAAUAUUGCACAAUGGGCGCAAGCCUGAUGCAGCGACGCCGCGUGAGGGAUGGAGGCCUUCGGGUUGUAAACCUCUUUUGUUUGGGAGCAAGCCUUCGGGUGAGUGUACCUUUCGAAUAAGCGCCGGCUAACUACGUGCCAGCAGCCGCGGUAAUACGUAGGGCGCAAGCGUUAUCCGGAUUUAUUGGGCGUAAAGGGCUCGUAGGCGGCUCGUCGCGUCCGGUGUGAAAGUCCAUCGCUUAACGGUGGAUCUGCGCCGGGUACGGGCGGGCUGGAGUGCGGUAGGGGAGACUGGAAUUCCCGGUGUAACGGUGGAAUGUGUAGAUAUCGGGAAGAACACCGAUGGCGAAGGCAGGUCUCUGGGCCGUCACUGACGCUGAGGAGCGAAAGCGUGGGGAGCGAACAGGAUUAGAUACCCUGGUAGUCCACGCCGUAAACGGUGGACGCUGGAUGUGGGGCACGUUCCACGUGUUCCGUGUCGGAGCUAACGCGUUAAGCGUCCCGCCUGGGGAGUACGGCCGCAAGGCUAAAACUCAAAGAAAUUGACGGGGGCCCGCACAAGCGGCGGAGCAUGCGGAUUAAUUCGAUGCAACGCGAAGAACCUUACCUGGGCUUGACAUGUUCCCGACGACGCCAGAGAUGGCGUUUCCCUUCGGGGCGGGUUCACAGUGUGGUGCACAUGGUUCA